UAAAAUCUCCCAAAUAUAAAGAAUGAAUUUAAAAAUCAAAUACAAGAGGCUUAUGAGAUACCAAAGGUACAAAAUUAUAACAGAUCUAAAUCAAGACACAUUAUAAUGAAAAUGCCUGGCAUACAGAAUAAGGAUGGAAUUUUAAAGGCUGCAAGAGACAGGAAACAGAUUACAUAGAAGAGGAGACCAAUUCAGAUCUCAAGCAAUUUUUCAACACAGACCCUCAAAGCCAAUCUCUGAAAUAAAAUGAAUCCCAACCAAAAAUCUUAUAUUCCAGCAAAAUUAAGGUUCAGAUUUACUGACAAAAUAAAAACUUUUCAUGAUAAACAAAAGUUAAAAGAAUUUACAGUGAGAAAGCCUGCAGUACAUUCUUUACAAAAUAUUCUAUGAGGAGGAAAUAAAAAACAACGAUGAAAAUCUACAAAGGAAGGAACUACAAUAAAGGAAAGAUUAAUCAAAGGGGAAGAUGGGCAUAAUGGUACAUGCCUGUAAUUUCUGCAGCUAGGUAGGCUUAGGCAGGAGAAUCACAAGUUCAAAGCCAGCCUCAGCUACAAUGAGUCACUAUGAAACUCAGUGAGACCCUGUCUCUAAAUAAAAUACAAAAUAGGUCUGGGGAUUGAACUCAGGGUCAAGUGCCCCUAAGUUCAAUCCACAGUAUAAAAAAAAGAAGAGACUAAGUCCUGCUAAAAUACCAAAAUAAACCAAAAUGACCUGGAAUACAAAAUAUAGCUCAAUAAUAACCCUGAAUGUGAAUGGCAUACACUCAUCAAUUAAAAGACAAACUCACAGAGUGGAUUAAAAAUAAGACCCAACAAUAUGCUGCCUUCAAUAACAUUUCACAGGAAAAGACAUCCACAGAGUGGAGGUAAAUGAAUGAGAUAAGGGCUGGGGAUGUGGCUCAAGCAGUAGCGUGCUCGCCUGGCAUGCAUGUGGCCCGGGUUUGAUACUCAGCACUACAUACAAACGAAGAUGUUGUGUCUGCCGAAAACUAAAA
RNAcentral lists this long non-coding RNA (994 nucleotides) under Marmota monax (woodchuck). The record is from RNAcentral. Lineage: Eukaryota; Metazoa; Chordata; Mammalia; Rodentia; Sciuridae.